Long non-coding RNA from Drosophila gunungcola (fruit fly), 560 nucleotides. RefSeq lists it as uncharacterized. The transcript is spliced from 3 exons. The record is from RefSeq and is a predicted model, not a curated record. Lineage: Eukaryota; Metazoa; Arthropoda; Insecta; Diptera; Drosophilidae.
GGUUAAAUAGACAAGGGUCAUUAGUGAUAUCGGCUUUCCUUAAUCAACACAGGACCACGUAUGCCUGUGUUCACAUGUGUGUCAAUUCUGGCCUAUCGUAAAAGAAAACCCACUAUCGGUCACGUUUUCACACCAUCUGCAUGCAGAAUAUUUGAGACUAUUUUACCUACGAUAUCUUUAUCUAAAUUGUAUUGUUUUAUUAGGAUAAACCAUGUAACUGAUAAUUGUAAUCUAGAAUAGACCUAUGUAAACACCCUUUUUGACCCAAGAAUGAUGUAUAUAAACCCCAAGUUAUGCUCAAUAAAAUCAGUACGAAAAGAUCUCUUGACAUAUUCACUUCUCCGCAGCCCAAUUGGUAUUGUACUUAUUGCGGCGACUAUUGCCACUGCAUCAACAGCAAAAAUCACGGUAGUGAUUAACUGGUCUACUAGGCGACCGACCAUAAUAUAGAAGUUCUCUUCGCGAACGUUUUUUUUUUCACUGCUAUCAACUUGGCGAUAGACAGCGACCAAGUAAUUUCUGCGAUUUGUGUACGAUUAACUUGGCAAUCAAAACACACA